Molecule: microRNA precursor, 209 nt
Filed under: Oryza rufipogon (brownbeard rice)
Lineage: Eukaryota; Viridiplantae; Streptophyta; Magnoliopsida; Poales; Poaceae
Description: MIR812 microRNA precursor family
Rfam family: MIR812 microRNA precursor family
Source: Rfam by way of RNAcentral
AAUAAGUGCAGUUUUGCACUAUUCACGUUCAACGUUUGACCGUCCGUCUUAUUUGAAAAAUUUGUGAAAAAAUUAUUUUUAUUGCUAUUAGAUGAUAAAACAUGAAUAGUACUUUAUGUGUGACUAAAUGUUUUUAAUUUUUUCACAAAUUUUUCAAAUAAGACGGACGGUCAAACGUUGAACGUGAAUAGUGCAAAACUGCACUUAUU